UCCUUCCGGGUCCUCAUUUCCCCGAUUGGGUGAAACCCUAGCCACCACUCCCCGUCGGGCUUCUCUCCUCCACUCCCCAUCGCGCCCCUCUCCUCCAAUCCCCGCAGCCGAAGACGAGAUCUCGCCCUUCGCCGAGCUUGCCACCAUCGCUGCUCUCCCCUCGCCAUCGCCGGGAGGAGUGUGCAGGCCGCCGCUCGCGUCGUUUCUCCGCAGCCACCACCGCCCCCUUCCCUUCCAAGCCCACGGAGAUGACGGCGCCGGCGCUGGCGCUCGCGGUGGUCGGGUACUGGGCUGCCCGACAGCCGCGGGGCCAGGACGCUCUACUUCGCCAGGGACCUCAAGCUGUUGACGGCGGGGACUGAGUCGCCGCCGCAUCAUCUUCUCCUCCUCCCCAACACCUCAUGAUUGCGGGUCGCCGUCGCACCAGAUGAGGUGGGGCUGCAACCACGCCCCCUUCACCUCUUCUACCCAGCCGUGCCACUCGGGACGACAAGAUCCAGCCGCGGCGGCCGAGAUCUAGUUGGCUGCCAUCAAUAUGAGGAGCGCUCGUGCCGCUGCUCCGCCGUUCGUCGUCCACUUGGCCGCAACUAUCCACAAGAAGAGGUGAUGUCACGGCAGCAGGGUCCUCACCUGUCUCCGCUCCCUCGUCUCCCCCUUCUGCUGGCAAGGGUGCUGAGCAGCAACAGUUCCAUCUCCCUCCCCAACGCAUCCUUGCCUCAUCUUGAUCUGCAAUGAACCAGAGCCCAGAGAAAGAGAUUUGAUAUGAUGAUUGAGGUAGGAGGCAUGGAUUGUUUGGGGCUCCUCUGAAAUAAGCUUCUUAAUUAGGAGAUGAAUACAGUCGGAGCCUGGGAUUUUUAUACACAGAGAUGGGGCAUAAAUAAGCAAAACAAAAAAUGCGCCAAUGCUUUGCCAGAAUUUCGUUGGUCCUCUCAAGAUUGUGGCGAAACCAAGAUUGAAUUUAGAGAUGUUUCAUAUGCUUGGCCGUUGACACACCUCUCUUCAAGGCAAGGUCAUUUCCAAGGUGAUUACAGCGCUAGGACCUACCCCUGAUAAGAACCAGGGCACCCGUUUAAACAGAAUGAUGACUGUGUGAGGCUUAAAAUAUCGCCAUCAUAUCAGGGGUGAUGCUGUCACUUCCAUGGUCCACCAGAAUGAAGAUCACACUCAGUGCUGCAAGGGGGCUUGCCUUCCUGCACGAAGCUGAGAAGCCAGUUGUCUACAUGGAUUCAAGACAUCCAACUUGCUCGAUGAGAUACCCAAACCGCGUUUAAUCGCUUCGAUGUUUACUUCCAUUCGUAUAGAUUCCGGACUCCUUAUACACAAAAAACAUUAGAGUGGUUCACAUAAAUGGUUCAGUAAACAGAAUGAGCACCUGUAAUUUUUCAUGAGGCUGAUUUUAAGUUCUCAAUUUAUUUGCCAUGGAUUGUUUGGGGCUUCUCUGAAAUAAGCUUACCUAUGCAGGAAAACAACAGGAAUGAGAUUAAUAGAUUUAAUGAAGAGAUAUGCCAGGAUUAGGCGGAGAUGAUGAAAGGCUUUGUAAAAGUCAGAUCUCUGUGAUUUAUAUAUGUGCUCACGAGGACAUUCCCAUUGCAUCUGCUUUGACAAGUUGAAGAAUCUGGUCUUUUUGUGCUUGCCUACAGAACUGUCAUAUCUUAUAUUUGUUGGUCAAAUAAAAACGAAUGAUGGUUGAUUGUCUCGACUAUGAAUGAGCAUUUCUGGAUUGUAGAACAAAGAGUGUCCCGGGCAAAAGGACCAAGAUUUGGCGGGUGGGCGUCGGGAGUCCAGUUGGUUGGCUUCAGCCUUUGAGGUGCUGCCGGCUAGCGGUGCCGCUUCUGAGUGUGUCCUCGUCUCACUCCCUUGGCACCUUCGGCCGAUGAUCCUUCUGCUUUCCUUUUUACUAAAUAGACAAGUUGGAUCCAGUGUGUCUCCAUGUGUCCAUGUGUGUUUUGGGUGAAUACGCAAUGAAACGCGGGAAAGUGGCCUCUAUUUGACAUUGUCGUGCUGAACGAUUCAUUCACAUGUCUGUAACUUUGUAUCUUGGUUCUGUUUCUAUUGUUAGUUCCAAAAGAUAUAUCCACUUCUUGGCGACUUUUAACUCUGUAACAUGUCUAUUCUUAGUGUAGAUAUACUUUUUAUUCUAGCUGCAUUGCUGUGAGCAGGCAGAUUUCUUAUGGGGAAUGGCGAUGAUUGCUUGAGCUUUCAUUUUGAUCCCCUUUGUAUCCCAAACAUAGUUUUCGCACAGUCGCUGUAUGUACUGGUUCCGGAUACUCCAUGUAGCGGUUUUUGUUUGUUUUUAUUCAUAUAAGUACUAGAUUCUCGUACAAAACAGAGAUGAACUGCACUAUAUGUUUACUGAUAUGUUGGGCCCAAAUAAAAUGUCUUCGUGCUUCACUUUUGGCUACUUUGAUUCUAAUGCACAUAUGUGCAUUCCUUUUUUUGUCAUUCACUUUGUUGUUCAUUUGAUUGUCCAUUUCUUCAUUUUUAAUGACAAAGCAUGUGUUUUUUUCUUUUCGAAUUAGCUUAAAAUCACAAUCAAAGAGUUAACUUUGUACUUAAUUUUCAUAAACAACUGUCUAUAUGGCUUAAGAAAGGUGAAGAGCAAGGCCAAUCAGGAUUUAUCUAUGGUUGGUUUCUUGAUCCAGAUUUGUUAACAAGGUUUACUAAAGGCAAGUUGGUUUUACCAAGCGAGACAGAUAAAUUUAUUAAUACUUGCAAUAUACGUCUAAGAGAUUAUUUGCAUCAGGUUCAAGUGAAGUGCCACCUGUGAAGUUGAUUGACAAGGCAGUUGAAUGAAGCCACUUAUUAGCACCUUGCUUGCUCUUCUUUCUUUUUGGAGCCAAAAGAUCCAUCGGCGCUCCACUACUGGGCUUUGAUUUGAAGAGACUGCUGGGAAAGGUUAUCUCGGUCAUCUUCCGUCUGAUACAUAGGUCAAACCAGGACUCACACACUCUCUCGCCGAUAUUUCCCUCCGCUCCCGUGAAUACAUCGUCUUCUACGCACGGCGGCGCCGCCUUGGAUCGGCCCUCCGUCGCGCCGCUUCGGUCGUCACCACGCAUCUCAGCUCCAAUAACCAGGUCGUGAUGGCUGACGAUGAGCUCUAGGUUCAUGGCUCACCAGGCUCCACUGGCUCCACCAACAACUGUCUGCAGGCACUUGCACAGAACAGUUCUUGACAGCCUCCUAGCACACCUUGGGCACGCUAUUAGAUGGGGCCUCUCCUAAUUCACAACUGAUCCUAUGCCUAUCAAGGUGAUUUCGUCUUGCUGUACAUGUAUUGCACUUCCAGGAUGCUUGAGUGCAGAAAUUAUUGUAUUCCAUAUAUCUCACAAUUUGUUUGUAUCGGGUUCAUGUGAGGCAGAUGAAUUACGCCACGUGUUAGUAUGCUUAUUAUGGCUCCAUAGUUGGCUGUCCUUGUGUGUUUUCGCUUUUGGUAUUGAACUUUGUGUUGAAUGGCCGUAUUCUGCGGUCGGCUG
Molecule: long non-coding RNA, 3473 nt
Organism: Triticum aestivum (bread wheat)
Lineage: Eukaryota; Viridiplantae; Streptophyta; Magnoliopsida; Poales; Poaceae
Exons: 9
Source: RefSeq, a predicted model, not a curated record